This 966-nucleotide long non-coding RNA is filed under the name Homo sapiens (human). RNAcentral's name for it is "non-protein coding CASC16:3". The record is from RNAcentral. Lineage: Eukaryota; Metazoa; Chordata; Mammalia; Primates; Hominidae.
CAGAAUGUUCCUUGCUGCAGAUGCAUUGGCCCCAUCUGCAGGUCCUCUUUGACACCUACCUUACUCUCUCCCUCCACUCACACUCUGAGAACUGUGCUCAGGGGCAGCGCUACAACUUCCACAUUGGUCUUUACAGGGCUUGAGUGAUUAUUUCAAGAACAGAACGCUGUGUGGAAACCUUUACCAUAUUUCGUUGUAUCUAAGACACAUUUUUUUUUUUUGAAAUUUAACAUCUCUAAGGUUGGGUUAUGUUUCUUCAUCAUUGUCAGGUUGGAGCUUAAUCAGCAGCACUUUUUUUUAAUGUCACACACAGUAAUGGUGAUGCAUCUCACAAUUGAGAUCAUCUUAGACAUGAUGGAAUAUGGAAUCGUGUGCCUGUUACAAGCCAGGCUCUUGUCUGGGUUCUAGAGACGGUGGAAACCAAGACAGCACCAUCCUCUAGUGGUGUUCACAUCCCACCACAGUGGAGUCAGGACUUUGAAGUCCUCCAUUGGAUCUUCUCGGAAGAUGAGGGAAAUGAGAGAGUGUGGAGAGAGAUUUUGUAAGUCCGGUCUGGAAGUGGUCAUUGUUCAGAAUCCAGCCACGUGGGUACAUGGAACUGUAAGCUGUCUCUUAGCGAAGAAUAAAACUGUGGACUGACCCCCACCCAUUUGCGAAGAAAGUACUGGGUCUUCAGCUUUCAUUGUUCAGCCGGUGGUCUUUGUGGACAACACCAGGGGCCCCUCCUGCUGAAGACUGUCUGGACUUCCUGAUUUUCACUCCUGUAUAAACCCCCUCCCCCAUUACUACCUUUGUCUCCUUGGGGAAAAAAAAUGUUUUUCACUUAAGCAAAAUAAUAACUACCCAGUAUUUGUUUCUGGAGUGAAAUUGUAAACUUCAUUGUACAUUCUUCCUGGCUUUGAUGCUUAUCGUGAAGAGUUCAGUGAAAAUAAAUUGUUUUUAUGAAAGCAGAGAAACCAUUUGAUA